This 169-nucleotide ribosomal RNA is filed under the name uncultured rumen bacterium. Its description in RNAcentral is "partial 16S ribosomal RNA". It matches the Rfam family "Bacterial small subunit ribosomal RNA", at positions 338 to 524 of the family's 1533-position model. The record is from RNAcentral.
CCUACGGGAGGCAGCAGUGGGGGAUAUUGGACAAUGGGGGAAACCCUGAUCCAGCGACGCCGCGUGAGGGAAGAAGGUUUUCGGAUUGUAAACCUCUGUUGACGGGGAAGAAAAUGACGGUACCCGUUCAGAAAGCCACGGCUAACUACGUGCCAGCAGCCGCGGUAAU